CAGUCGCCGCGGGAAAACGUAGGUGGCAAGCGUUGUCCGGAAUUAUUGGGCGUAAAGGGCUCGCAGGCGGUUUCUUAAGUCUGAUGUGAAAGCCCCCGGCUCAACCGGGGAGGGUCAUUGGAAACUGGGAAACUUGAGUGCAGAAGAGGAGAGUGGAAUUCCACGUGUAGCGGUGAAAUGCGUAGAGAUGUGGAGGAACACCAGUGGCGAAGGCGACUCUCUGGUCUGUAACUGACGCUGAGGAGCGAGAGCGUGGGGAGCGAACAGGAUUAGAUACCCCAGUAGUCCCUGUCUCUUAUAA
Molecule: ribosomal RNA, 301 nt
Filed under: uncultured bacterium
Lineage: Bacteria
Description: partial 16S ribosomal RNA
Rfam family: Bacterial small subunit ribosomal RNA
Source: RNAcentral